UCCCCUAGUAACGGCGAGUGAAGCGGGAAGAGCUCAAAUUUGAAAUCUAGUAGCCUUCGGCUGCUCGAGUUGUAAUCUAGAGAAGUGUUUUCCGUGCCGGCCCAUGUACAAGUCCCUUGGAACAGGGCGUCAUAGAGGGUGAGAAUCCCGUCCUUGACAUGGACCCCCGGUGCUCUGUGAUACACUUUCAACGAGUCGAGUUGUUUGGGAAUGCAGCUCAAAAUGGGUGGUGAAUUCCAUCUAAAGCUAAAUAUUGGCGAGAGACCGAUAGCGAACAAGUACCGUGAGGGAAAGAUGAAAAGCACUUUGGAAAGAGAGUUAAACAGUACGUGAAAUUGUUGAAAGGGAAACGAUUGAAGUCAGUCAUGCUCUUUGGUAUUUAUAUCAUUGAGUGGGGUCAACAUCAGUUUUGAGCGAUGGAUAAAGGCACUAGGAAGGUAGCACUCUCGGGUGAACUUAUAGCCUAGCGUCAUAUACAUUGUUUGGGACUGAGGAACGCAGCAUGCCUUUAUGGCCGGGAUUCGUCCACGUACAUGCUUAGGAUGUUGACAUAAUGGCUUUAAACGAC
This 568-nucleotide ribosomal RNA is filed under the name Naganishia diffluens. Its description in RNAcentral is "eukaryotic LSU rRNA". It matches the Rfam family "Eukaryotic large subunit ribosomal RNA", at positions 76 to 648 of the family's 3401-position model. The record is from RNAcentral. Lineage: Eukaryota; Fungi; Basidiomycota; Tremellomycetes; Filobasidiales; Filobasidiaceae.